Molecule: ribosomal RNA, 301 nt
Filed under: uncultured bacterium
Lineage: Bacteria
Description: partial 16S ribosomal RNA
Rfam family: Bacterial small subunit ribosomal RNA
Source: RNAcentral
CAGCCGCCGCGGGAAUACGGAGGGUGCGAGCGUUAAUCGGAAUAACUGGGCGUAAAGGGCACGCAGGCGGUGACUUAAGUGAGGUGUGAAAGCCCCGGGCUUAACCUGGGAAUUGCAUUUCAUACUGGGUCGCUAGAGUACUUUAGGGAGGGGUAGAAUUCCACGUGUAGCGGUGAAAUGCGUAGAGAUGUGGAGGAAUACCGAAGGCGAAGGCAGCCCCUUGGGAAUGUACUGACGCUCAUGUGCGAAAGCGUGGGGAGCAAACAGGAUUAGAGACCCCCGUAGUCCCUGUCUCUUAUAC